RNAcentral lists this ribosomal RNA (582 nucleotides) under Salmonella enterica subsp. enterica serovar Anatum. Its description in RNAcentral is "partial 23S ribosomal RNA". It matches the Rfam family "Bacterial large subunit ribosomal RNA", at positions 607 to 1190 of the family's 2925-position model. Lineage: Bacteria; Pseudomonadati; Pseudomonadota; Gammaproteobacteria; Enterobacterales; Enterobacteriaceae. The record is from RNAcentral.
UUUGUAUAAUGGGUCAGCGACUUAUAUUCUGUAGCAAGGUUAACCGAAUAGGGGAGCCGUAGGGAAACCGAGUCUUAACCGGGCGUUAAGUUGCAGGGUAUAGACCCGAAACCCGGUGAUCUAGCCAUGGGCAGGUUGAAGGUUGGGUAACACUAACUGGAGGACCGAACCGACUAAUGUUGAAAAAUUAGCGGAUGACCUGUGGCUGGGGGUGAAAGGCCAAUCAAACCGGGAGAUAGCUGGUUCUCCCCGAAAGCUAUUUAGGUAGCGCCUCGUGAAUUCAUCUCCGGGGGUAGAGCACUGUUUCGGCUAGGGGGCCAUCCCGGCUUACCAACCCGAUGCAAACUGCGAAUACCGGAGAAUGUUAUCACGGGAGACACACGGCGGGUGCUAACGUCCGUCGUGAAGAGGGAAACAACCCAGACCGCCAGCUAAGGUCCCAAAGUCAUGGUUAAGUGGGAAACGAUGUGGGAAGGCCCAGACAGCCAGGAUGUUGGCUUAGAAGCAGCCAUCAUUUAAAGAAAGCGUAAUAGCUCACUGGUCGAGUCGGCCUGCGCGGAAGAUGUAACGGGGCUAAACCAU